AUACGGAGGGCGCGAGCGUUAAUCGGAAUUACUGGGCGUAAAGCGUGCGUAGGCGGUUUGCUAAGUCAGAUGUGAAAGCCCCGGGCUUAACCUGGGAACUGCAUUUGAUACUGGCAGACUAGAGUAUGAUAGAGGGGGGUAGAAUUCCUGGUGUAGCGGUGAAAUGCGUAGAUAUCAGGAGGAAUACCAGUGGCGAAGGCGGCCCCCUGGAUCAAUACUGACGCUGAGGUACGAAAGCGUGGGGAGCGAACAGGAUUAGAUACCCCAGUAGUCC
RNAcentral lists this ribosomal RNA (274 nucleotides) under uncultured bacterium. RNAcentral's name for it is "partial 16S ribosomal RNA". It matches the Rfam family "Bacterial small subunit ribosomal RNA", at positions 523 to 796 of the family's 1533-position model. The record is from RNAcentral.